RNAcentral lists this ribosomal RNA (498 nucleotides) under uncultured bacterium. RNAcentral describes it as "partial 16S ribosomal RNA". It matches the Rfam family "Bacterial small subunit ribosomal RNA", at positions 28 to 507 of the family's 1533-position model. The record is from RNAcentral.
GACGAACGCUGGCGGCGUGCCUAAUACAUGCAAGUCGAACGAGAGCGACCGGUGCUUGCACUGGUCAAUCUAGUGGCGAACGGGUGAGUAUCACGUGGGUAACCUGCCCAUCAGAGGGGGAUAACAUCCGGAAACGGAUGCUAAAACCGCAUAGGUCUUCGAGCCGCAUGGCUUGAAGAGGAAAAGAGGCGCAAGCUUCUGCUGAUGGAUGGACCCGCGGUGCAUUAGCUAGUUGGUGAGGUAACGGCUCACCAAGGCCGUGAUGCAUAGCCGACCUGAGAGGGUGAUCGGCCACAUUGGGACUGAGACACGGCCCAAACUCCUACGGGAGGCAGCAGUAGGGAAUCUUCCGCAAUGGACGCAAGUCUGACGGAGCAACGCCGCGUGAGUGAAGAAGGUUUUCGGAUCGUAAAACUCUGUUGUUAGGGAAGAACAAGUGCUAGAGUAACUGUUAGCGCCUUGACGGUAGCUAACCAGAAAGCCACGGCUAACUACGUG